GAAGUGCGAUAAGCAAUGCGAAUUGCAGAAUUCCGUGAAUCAUCGAAUCUUUGAACGCACAUUGCGCCCCCUGGCAUUCCGGGGGGCAUGCCUGUCCGAGCGUCAUUUCUGCCCUCAAGCACGGCUUGUGUGUUGGGUGUGGUCCCCCCGGGGACCUGCCCGAAAGGCAGCGGCGACGUCCGUCUGGUCCUCGAGCGUAUGGGGCUCUGUCACUCGCUCGGGAAGGACCUGCGGGGGUUGGUCACCACCACAUUUUCCAUUAUGGUUGACCUCGGAUCAGGUAGGACUACCCGCUGAACUUAA
RNAcentral lists this unclassified non-coding RNA (303 nucleotides) under uncultured Talaromyces. RNAcentral describes it as "sequence contains ITS1". The stretch from base 1 to 105 matches the Rfam family "5.8S ribosomal RNA", at positions 50 to 154 of the family's 154-position model. Lineage: Eukaryota; Fungi; Ascomycota; Eurotiomycetes; Eurotiales; Trichocomaceae. The record is from RNAcentral.